GACGAACGCUGGCGGCGUGCUUAACACAUGCCAGUCGAACGGGUCUGCCCUGUUUUUUGCGGGGUGGGUCAGUGGCGAACGGGUGAGUAACACGUGAGUAACCUGCCCCUCACUUCUGGAUAACCGCUUGAAAGGGUGGCUAAUACGGGGUGUUCUGGCUGUGCCGCAUGGUGUGGCUGGGAAAGAUUCACUUUUGUGGUGUUUUGGUGGGGGAUGGGCUCGCGGCCUAUCAGCUUGUUGGUGGGGUGUUGGCCUGCCAAGGCUUUGACGGGUGGCCGGCAUGAGAGGGUGGACGGUCACACUGAGACUGAGAUACGGCCCAGACUGCUGCGGGAGGCAGCAGUGAGGGGUAAUGCACAAUGGGCGGAAGCCUGAUGCAGCGACGUCGCGUGAGGGAUGGAGGCCUUCGGGUUGUGAACCUCUUUCGCCGGUGAAGAAGGUCCUGAUCUUUGUGGUGGGGUUGACGGUAGCCGGGUUAUGAAGCGCCGGCUAACUACGUG
RNAcentral lists this ribosomal RNA (500 nucleotides) under uncultured bacterium. RNAcentral's name for it is "partial 16S ribosomal RNA". It matches the Rfam family "Bacterial small subunit ribosomal RNA", at positions 28 to 507 of the family's 1533-position model. The record is from RNAcentral.